RNAcentral lists this ribosomal RNA (440 nucleotides) under uncultured bacterium. Its description in RNAcentral is "partial 16S ribosomal RNA". It matches the Rfam family "Bacterial small subunit ribosomal RNA", at positions 338 to 795 of the family's 1533-position model. The record is from RNAcentral.
CCUACGGGAGGCAGCAGUGGGGGAUAUUGCACAAUGGGGGGAACCCUGAUGCAGCGACGCCGCGUGGGUGAAGAAGCGCCUCGGCGCGUAAAGCCCUGUCAGCAGGGAAGAAAAUGACGGUACCGGAAGAAGAAGCCCCGGCUAACUACGUGCCAGCAGCCGCGGUAAUCCGUAGGGGGCAAGCGUUCUCCGGAUUUACUGGGUGUAAAGGGGGCGCAGACGGCGAUGCAAGCCAGGAGUGAAAGCCCGGGGCCCAACCCCGGGACUGCUCUUGGAAAUGCGUGGCUGGAGUGCAGGAGGGGCAGGCGGAAUUCCUGGUGUAGCGGUGACAUGCGUAGAUAUCAGGAGGAACACCGGUGGCGAAGGCGGCCUGCUGGACUGCAACUGACGUUGAGGCCCGAAAGCGUGGGGAGCAAACAGGAUUAGAUACCCUUGUAGUC